This 494-nucleotide ribosomal RNA is filed under the name uncultured bacterium. RNAcentral describes it as "partial 16S ribosomal RNA". It matches the Rfam family "Bacterial small subunit ribosomal RNA", at positions 28 to 507 of the family's 1533-position model. The record is from RNAcentral.
GACGAACGCUGGCGGCGCGCUUAACACAUGCAAGUCGAACGGAAAGGCCUGCUUUCCCUUGUGGAUUGCGGGUACUCGAGUGGCGAACGGGUGAGUAACACGUGAGUGAUCUGCCCCCAACUUGGGUAUAAGCCUGGGAAACUGGGUCUAAUUCCCGAUAGGACUGCAGGGUGGUGCCUGUGGUGGAAAACGAUUUUCUAGUGGUUGGGGAUGAGCUCGCGGCCUAUCAGCUUGUUGGUGGGGUAAUGGCCUACCAAGGCGGCGACGGGUAGCCGGCCUGGGAGGGUGGACGGCCACAUGGGGACGGGGAUACGGCCCAGACUCCUACGGGAGGCAGCAGUGGGGAAUAUGGCACAAGGGGCGGAAGCCUGAUGCAGCGACGCCGCGUGGGGGAUGACGGCCGUCGGGUUGUAAACUCCUUUCGACCGCGAGGAAGCCACCUGGUUGGAAGGGUGGUGACGGUAGUGGUAGAAGAAGCACCGGCUAACUACGUG